CCUACGGGGGACAGCAGUGAGGAAUAUUGGUCAAUGGGCGGAAGCCUGAACCAGCCAAGUCGCGUGAGGGAUUAAGGCCCUGCGGGUCGUAAACCUCUUUUGCCGGGGAGCAGUGGUCCGGACGCGUCCGGACCGGGAGAGUACCCGGAGAAAAAGCAUCGGCUAACUCCGUGCCAGCAGCCGCGGUAAUACGGAGGAUGCGAGCGUUAUCCGGAUUUAUUGGGUUUAAAGGGUGCGUAGGCGGGCUGUUAAGUCAGCGGUCAAAUGUCGGGGCUCAACCCCGGCCUGCCGUUGAAACUGGCGGCCUCGAGUGGGCGAGAAGUAUGCGGAAUGCGUGGUGUAGCGGUGAAAUGCAUAGAUAUCACGCAGAACUCCGAUUGCGAAGGCAGCAUACCGGCGCCCUACUGACGCUGAGGCACGAAAGCGUGGGUAUCGAACAGGAUUAGAUACCCCAGUAGUC
Molecule: ribosomal RNA, 460 nt
Filed under: uncultured bacterium
Lineage: Bacteria
Description: partial 16S ribosomal RNA
Rfam family: Bacterial small subunit ribosomal RNA
Source: RNAcentral